Long non-coding RNA from Kogia breviceps (pygmy sperm whale), 1459 nucleotides. RefSeq lists it as uncharacterized. Lineage: Eukaryota; Metazoa; Chordata; Mammalia; Artiodactyla; Physeteridae. The record is from RefSeq and is a predicted model, not a curated record.
AUGGGAUGAGCAGAAGGGGACCGUCUAGGUGCUGACCCUGAGGGAUCUGCAGGAGCACUCAUCUACUCCAUUAUUUUGCUGAUGAAGAAACAACUCCAGCGUUGCCCAUGGUCCCACAGGGGUCAGUCACGUGAUCGGCCACAACAGAGGGUUCCCCAUGACAGGGGAGCAUGCUUUGGAUCCUGGCCAGAAGCCAGAAGCCCCUUGAGGGCAAGGACCCCAUUUUACCCCAUUCCUCCCUGCUGUACCUAGCACAGGGCACAGCACAUGCUCAAAAAGUCCUUCCUGAGUAAAUCUUGCAUCCCUCAGUAGCUGCAGUCACCUGGGUGCUGUUCAUGCCGUCAUUCAUUUAUUCAGCAUUUAGUAAGUGCUGACUGUGUGCACCCUAGUAGGCUCUGGGACGCACAGUUGAAUAAGGCACAGUGCCUGCCCCUGUUGGCUUAUCUCCUGUUGGGGGUUUCAGGGGUUACCCCACAUUAUGGCCCAUGCCCCCAUAGUUUUUCUCAUUCCUCUGCCCAGCCUGGUACUUGCAGCCUGCUCUCUGCCCAUGCCGGAGGCUGAGCAGUCUGCUCCACUCCCGCCCCCAGGCCAUUCCCACUGCCUUCUUCUUUGCCAGACCAGACAACCCUUCCUCCCAAGCUGCCUCCCUCCCCUCCUCCAGGAAGCCCUCUUUGACUAAGUCCCCCAGCUGCUCUGCAGGCCCCAGUGCUGAGGUCUUGCGCUCUGCCCAGGUAUCUCUGGUUCUGUCUCUCUGUUUCUGUUUCCCCCCAUCAGCCUCUGGAGCUUCCCAAACACAGGGACUGCCUCCCCUCCAGCUGUUUUUCCUCAGGCCUAAAUAGACCAGAAGAGGCAGGAAGGGAGGUCGUGUGGUCAGCUCCCAGCACACAGGGCCUGCCUUGGGCCCUGGCCCCAGGAGCCCCUUAGAGAAAGAUUUCUCUGGAACUACCAGGGCACUGACUUAGUCUUGGCCCAAGACCCCUGAGCCCUGAUCUUCCACACUGUGCCUGGGGGCUCAGGCUGGGCACCAGCUGUUGGGUACCCACUCAGCUCCAGCCACCUUUGUGUUCGAAGGUGGGGACCUCAGUCUGCACUUCACCAACUCCUGGGCUUGGCCAUUUUACUGUCCCUGUGGCAAGUAGUCUACAGGUGAAAAAUGGUUCCAGGGAACCAACAUGCUGCCUCUUAUCUGCUGGGUGACUGAAGUUACAGUGCUAGGCCUCUCUGGGCCUCUGCUAAUGAUACCUGUCCAACCCAUCUCACAGGUAGUUGGGAGGACCAGAGACCAAGGAGAAGAAAGAGCCAAGCCCAGCUGUUACAGUUUGGAGUGCUUAAUGAAGACAUGUGCUAUUCCUGGUAGGAGUGAACCCAGCCAUCUUGUCAGAUCCCCAAACACCCUUUUAGGUGAGUACUUCAGAUGCUCACGUGGCUCUUGAUGGAGAGGAUCUGGGAUCGGAGCUUC